This 402-nucleotide ribosomal RNA is filed under the name uncultured prokaryote. RNAcentral's name for it is "bacterial SSU rRNA". It matches the Rfam family "Bacterial small subunit ribosomal RNA", at positions 355 to 774 of the family's 1533-position model. The record is from RNAcentral.
UAGGGAAUAUUAGAAAUGGACGAAAGUCUGAUCUAGCAACACCGCGUGUGCGAAGAAGGCCUUCGGGUCGUAAAGCACUUUUUGGAAGGAAUAGGAAGGAAUGUACUUCCAGAAUAAGCCCCGGCUAACUACGUGCCAGCAGCCGCGGUAAUACGUAGGGGGCGAGCGUUGCUCGGAUUGACUGGGCGUAAAGCGCGCGUAGGCGGUCCAUUAAGUGUGCGGUGAAAUUCAGAGGCUCAACCUCUGUCCCGCCGCGCAAACUGGUGGUCUUGAGAUUGGGAGGGGGAUGCGGAAUUCCUGGUGUAGCGGUGAAAUGCAUUGAUAUCAGGAGGAACACCGGCGGCGAAAGCGGCAUCCUGGCUUAUAUCUGACGCUGAGGCGCGAAAGCGUGGGUAGCAAACG